Molecule: long non-coding RNA, 503 nt
Organism: Heterocephalus glaber (naked mole-rat)
Lineage: Eukaryota; Metazoa; Chordata; Mammalia; Rodentia; Bathyergidae
Source: Ensembl
GGCAGGCUGGGAGGCAGAAUGACCUUGGCCCACUCUGUUCUAGAGGUCAUGGUUACAGGCAGACCCCUUUCUUCGUUGUAAGGUGCUGCUGGGAAGCCUCCUCACUGAAGCACUGGCCAAGAUUCCUUCCAGAAAGAGCCAGAAAUGACAUCCUAAGGCAGCGAUGGUGAACCUUUUAAAGCUUUCAGAGUUACAAACAGCCCACUGCUACAGAUGUGCAACCCAUGCCCACACCUGAGCUGAGUGGGUGUGGAUGGACACUGAACAGACUACUGAAGAAAGCCGAGGUCAUUGUGCAUAGUAUUUUCAAGAUGCUAUCUGUGUUCCAAAAGCCCUAUUUCCACAAGAAUUUAAUUUCCACAAGGAAGCUAAAGGAAUUCAGAGCAGGAGACAUGGGAAAACAGAUGAAGACAGCAGAUGGAAGAACUAGGAAGUGAAUCAGCCAUGGCAUGUGGAAGCCACUCUGUCCUCCACUAAGAUGAGCAGUGUCUACCUGGAAUGGG